AACAUUGGGCUCCCAUGGCAGUGGAUCACUCGGCUUGUGGGUCGAUGAAGACCGGGGUAAAACCCGAGAGUGUUUGCGAAUUGCAGGACACAAACGAGCAUCGACAUGUUGAACGCAAAUGGCGGCUCUCGGCUUAUGUCGUUGAGCCCAGUGCUGUCGAGGGUCGGU
Molecule: ribosomal RNA, 168 nt
Filed under: Parasacculina yatsui
Lineage: Eukaryota; Metazoa; Arthropoda; Thecostraca; Polyascidae
Description: 5.8S ribosomal RNA
Rfam family: 5.8S ribosomal RNA
About the family: 5.8S ribosomal RNA (5.8S rRNA) is a component of the large subunit of the eukaryotic ribosome.
Source: RNAcentral